This 253-nucleotide ribosomal RNA is filed under the name uncultured bacterium. RNAcentral's name for it is "partial 16S ribosomal RNA". It matches the Rfam family "Bacterial small subunit ribosomal RNA", at positions 524 to 776 of the family's 1533-position model. The record is from RNAcentral.
UACGUAGGGGGCAAGCGUUGUCCGGAUUUAUUGGGCGUAAAGAGCGUGUAGGCGGUUAGGUAGGUCCGUUGUGAAAACUCGAGGCUCAACCUCGAGACGCCGAUGGAAACCAUCUAACUAGAGUCCGGAAGAGGAGAGUGGAAUUCCGGGUGUAGCGGUGGAAUGCGUAGAGAUCCGGAAGAACACCGGUGGCGAAGGCGGCCCGCUGGGCUGUUGCUGACGCUGAGGCGCGACAGCGUGGGGAGCAAACAGG